CCUACGGGAGGCAGCAGUGAGGAAUAUUGGUCAAUGGACGAGAGUCUGAACCAGCCAAGUAGCGUGAAGGAUGACUGCCCUAUGGGUUGUAAACUUCUUUUAUAUGGGAAUAAAACGUUCCACGUGUGGGAUUUUGUAUGUACCAUAUGAAUAAGGAUCGGCGAACUCCGUGCAAGCAGCAGAGGUAAUACGGAGGAUCCGAGCGUUAUCCGGAUUUGUUGGGUGUAACGGGAGCGUAGGUGGAUUGUUAAGUCAGUUGUGAAAGUUUGCGGCUCAACCGUAAAAUUGCAGUUGAAACUGGCAGUCUUGAGUACAGUAGAGGUGGGCGGAAUUCGUGGGGUAGCGGUGACAUGCUGAGAUAUCACGAAGAACUCCGAUUGCGAAGGCAGUUCACUGGACUGCAACUGACACUGAGGCUCGACAGUGUGGGUAUCAAACAGGAUUAGAUACCCGAGUAGUC
This 460-nucleotide ribosomal RNA is filed under the name uncultured bacterium. Its description in RNAcentral is "partial 16S ribosomal RNA". It matches the Rfam family "Bacterial small subunit ribosomal RNA", at positions 338 to 795 of the family's 1533-position model. The record is from RNAcentral.